This 470-nucleotide ribosomal RNA is filed under the name uncultured bacterium. RNAcentral's name for it is "partial 16S ribosomal RNA". It matches the Rfam family "Bacterial small subunit ribosomal RNA", at positions 355 to 817 of the family's 1533-position model. The record is from RNAcentral.
UAGGGAAUCUUCCACAAUGGACGCAAGUCUGAUGGAGCAACGCCGCGUGAGUGAAGAAGGUUUUCGGACCGUAAAGCUCUGUUGUUGGUGAAGAAGGAUAGAGGUAGUAACUGGCCCUUUAUUUGACGGUAAUCAACCAGAAAGUCACGGCUAACUACGUGCCAGCAGCCGCGGUAAUCGUAGGUGGCAAGCGUUGUCCGGAUUUAUUGGGCGUAAAGCGAGCGCAGGCGGAAGAAUAAGUCUGAUGUGAAAGCCCUCGGCUUAACCGAGGAAUUGCAUCGGAAACUGUUUUUCUUGAGUGCAGAAGAGGANAGUAGAACUCCAUGUGUAGCGGUGGAAUGCGUAGAUAUAUGGAAGAAUACCAGUGGCGAAGGCGGCUCUCUGGUCUGCAACUGACGCUGAGGCUCGAAAGCAUGGGUAGCGGACAGGAUUAGAUACCCUGGUAGUCCAUGCCGUAAACGAUGAGUGCU